UAAACGCUUGGGCUCUGGGGUUUUCCUUCGCAGAGAUGCAGUCAUACUAGUCAAACUACUUUUGAGAAAACAAUAAGUAAUUUCUGAAAAAUGCAACCGGUCUUGAUAUAUUUCGUUUUUGCAUUUGUCUGUCUUUGCAACUUAGGAAUAAAGUGUAAAUAAUUAUUUUUCAUUUGUUUGCUAGACCUUUGCAGUGUUCUAAUGCUUUUUUGCUGAACGAGUAGUUCCAGGGGAAAGGAGGAGGGCCCAAGCCAUCACAAGUGCAAGCUUGCUGGAAAAAGAAGCUGUUUUAUGAUCGAGCUGGAGCAGAUGUACUGUCAUGAUCAAACGGCACAUAAAUGUGGCAAAGGGCUCUGCUUUGAAAUGCACUGCAGCAAAUUCAGUUGUUUAAACAGCAAUGGAAGGAUUUUUUUUUAACUCUGUACUUCUGAAGACUAUACAAUAUUGCAUUAUUAUAAAUAACUAUGUCAGUGCAAAGUCUUUUAAGUGUUAUUUCCCUCCCCAAGAAAGUAUUACUAGCUCACAUAACUUUUUAAAGCACUUGUUUGCGGACUGAUAUGACCCUUUCCAUCUUGCUUACUGCCUUAAACCACAUACGUUUGCCAUGCCCACAAUUUUACGUUCUGGGUCUAUUUGUAGUGUUGUUUUCUUUUUAAAGAAAGACUAUGUAUUGUAAGUGCUUGCCUUAAGCAAUUCUGUGGUAACCUGUGGUUACAGAGUGUCCCUCACUGAGAUAAGUCUGGCAAAAUAACCUUUUUGUGACCUUUCAAGAGGACCUUUUCAGUUUAGUCUGACUGUACUGGCACUGCCUCGGUUGUCUGGGUGCAUCCUGAACUUUUAUCUCCACUUUGUUAGGGUAUUUAUCAUGUUAAGAUUAGUUCAUGACCUAGGAGCAUCAUCGUCUUAUUUGAUGUUUUAUGGCUAUGCCCAGACUCAAGGCUAAACAGAGGACCCACAAGAAAGUUGGAAAGGGUAGGAAGAAAAAAGAAAAGAUUCCAACUAGCAUGUGGCUGGAUAAGGAAGGGCUCAUUAAUCAUCCUUAUAAACACAGAUGGACAGAUUCGGAGAGAUGCUUGGUUUGCAUUUGAUGAGCUGUUAACUGUAAUGGUGCACAAUAUGCUUGCAGAUGAUAAUUUAUAACAUGCUCAUUACUUUAUUAGGCUGCAGUUGACUUGUGACAAGAUAAUGAUCCUCUGGUAUGCAUACAUAUGAAAUGGGUGUAGGGUUACAGAAAUUACAAAUAAAGAAUAAAUAAAUAAAAUUCACAAACCUGCAAGUUUCGGUUCAGGAAGAGGAAGUUGGCUUGAAGAACUUGGCUUGAGGAGACUGCCAAGGCCAUAGCUGUUAUAUAUUCUGGGCUGUUUGCUAUGAACAAAAAACAUGGUGCUCUUUCAGUGCAUGUGACUUUUCUCAUAAGUGUAGUUCAUCUGAAAGUGUUUUGCAUGCAAUACCUCACUUGACAAAAUCUUUGCUCAAAGUGAAACUGCUGUAUUAGUACUUGUACCUCUACAGUAUUAGAUUUCUACACGUUUAAAGAUUUAAUGUAAUGCAUUAAAACAUUGUUUUCCUUUCAGCAUUGAUGGAAUAUUUUGGAUUCAAUUUAAGUGCAAUUAAUGUAACGUUGAUUACCUCAUAAUGUAAAUUCAACUCAUGCAUAAUUUUCUUUAAAAAAAAAGAAAUGUAAAAAUUAUGGAUACAUGAGAUACUUACAAUGGUACUAAAUCCAGCCCAAGUCAUUACUAUUUACAAACUAUUACAUGCACUUUAAAAUCAGGUUUCCAUCUGUAUUGUUUAUGUAUUGUGGGAAUAGAGGGGAGCACCCCUCUUUAUCAUACACAGAAACAAAGCCCAUAAUGACAUAUUUCACAGCAGAUUAGCUUUUUUGUUUGGCCCGUGGACUCUUAUGUUCCUUACAUGACCCUUUGUAUUGUCUUCUAGAGUCCCAGGAGAUACAAUAGUGUGCACAAUGUAUAGAUGACAUUGUUUUGCUACAGAAUUCGUUUGUGUGUACAAAAAACAGUGUACAUGGUCAAAUGUUCUCACUUGAACAAUAGAUCAGACAUUGGUUCAAGUGUGCAUUAAAGCAGUAAACUCCUAGAACACCCUGCUCCCAGGUUUAUAGCAAAUACAUGCAAAAUUAAACUGACUCGUCAGCCAUUUUUCUUUCCUCUUUGCUGGGUUAUUUACAGACAUGACAUCCUGUGCAGUCAUCCUGCCCCGUGGUGUAGGUGGACGGUUUGGAUGGGUGGGACCUGGGCACUUCUGCCCUGUGCUGGGCACAUUGCCAAGGCUGGGACGGGGUGGGGCUCAGUGUGAGGGUGAUGGCUUCACAACAGGGAUUCGACUCUCUCUGACUAAAACUAUAUUCCGUUCCACACCCCUGGCCUGCUUCCUUGUAACCGGAAUAUAUGUUAGAUGCCCGAGAGUGCAUGGGCAUGGCUGACCCACUUGCCAUUCAGUAUAUGCACCUGCUAGUUAAUUGGGAAUGAUGUUAUGCGGGGAUCAUAUGAAUUGUAUAUGUGCCCCUAUGUUUAUGUUUGAGAGAAGAUUAGUAUAAACGGACGUUUAACCAUUUAUCUAUAUACAUCAGUUCUGUCCACAGCAUGUUUCUUUUCUGAUUUUUACUGUCAGCCUCCUGUGUGAGUGGUAGAAACCAUGCUUUGGUGCUCUCUCUCUCACUUAAAUAUGAUAGGCUGAAGUGCUGAAGCCCCCUGGGUGUUUCAUCAUGCACUCAUCCACCCUUUUGCAGGUAUCCAUCUCUCCUGAAUCAGCCCUGACUGAGGGGAAUACAGUUCUCUUAUUUUUCAUUCAGAAGAAAAGCAUACAGUCUUUAGCUGCUACCUAUAAAAAGUCUGACUUUACGAUACAUUCAACCAAGUCAGUCAUAGUUAACACACCAUAGAAUUGGUCUUAGGCCACCGCUUCUAUAAGUACUUUUCAAACUCUGCUGAACUUAUGUAUACUUUAGUUAGCUUUGGCAGAGCCUUAUAAAAGCAAGUCUGUUCCUUCGUAACCAUCCCCCUAUUACCCUGUGUCUUCUCCCCCCACCCAUAAGGGCGUAAGUUGACAGAACUACUGAAGCAUUGUAUAGUUUGAGCUCUUUUGCUUUCUUAAAUCUACUAUGUAUGGGUGUCGAUUUCUCUGUGGAGGAAGAAGGGGAUCUGGAGCUGAUGUGGAGCUGUAUUUUCAGGUUCCUGAAGCAUGAGCCGCCAGCUUAGGGUCUCACGCAAACUCUGCGUGGGGCACUAACACUGCAAUUUGUGGGUGGGGAUGUACUGUAUGGAAAGGCAGAAGUGUGGGGGUGGGUACAGGGUGGGACCCGUUGUCAAAGCCCUCCAUUGAAGUAGGUCACUUGCUCAGCUGCAUCUGCUGGCAAACUGAUUUGGUGUUUCUCUGCAGUAGCAGUGCAUGCAUUUGGGUUUUUGAGAUGAGGAUUGAGGGGAGAAAAAAAAAAAGAAACUGAGAGAGGUUGCUUUCUGCUGUGUGCCAGAACCUUGGUUGCCUCCCAGGCUUUUAUAUUGACAUUAGCUCUUGCCAGUUUGACCCCUUACUGUCUAAUAAAUCUGUAUGUGGAGGAUCCUGGCCUGUGCUCUUCCAGGCGUGGCUGCGGGAUGAAAAGGAUCAUUCAGUGGACAGUCAUGGGGGAAGGGUUGACUUGGUGGUGUCUUGUUUGAGAGUAUCUUGCUGUCAAUGGUGUCUACUCAAGAAAAGAGCAACAAAAAAGUCCAAAGAAUAUUCCAACAGUUUUUGUCGAAGGAAGUCAAUGAAAGCCCAAAACAAUGCAGGACCUUUCUGAAUGAAGAAAGUAAUUCAUAGAGGUUUGCAUCAACAUUUUGGGAUUAACUAUCCGUUUAAGAUUUGCAUCACUCAAGGAAUUAAACAAAGCCUCAAAUAGCUUUGACUAAUGUUAAUGUGGUUGACAAAAGAAAUUAACGAAUUGGAGAGAGGACAGUUUGUCCUUAAAACGUGGGAUUAAAAAAGAGAACUCUCACCUAAGAUCAAUAUUAGCGUUUUUUGUUAUUACCCAUUUAAUGUAUACUCUUUUUACAGUAUAAAAAUCCAAUUUAGCACGGUUUCUUGACAUUUAGCAGACUUCGUUUCUGUACAUAAUGUCAGAGCUGUGGGCGACCCCACCCACCUGCUCUUACCUUUUACCAAUCACGUGCUUCAGCUGGCUACAACUGUCUUAAUGUAAAAUUGAUUUAAAAUAACUAUUUUGUGUUACAAAACAAUCCUAGUGGCCUAGUUAAGCCAGGACCCACUGGAAGGUCAAUUUCAUAGCUGUAUUGAUGAGUAGAGCAAAGCUGUGAGAUGUGCUCCUCAUGAGGUGGGAAAAUAGGGGGAGGGGACAUAAAUCUGCAGCAGUUGUGGCUGCUUCCUCAUAUAAUGUGUCUUAGACCGUGUGUGCACAUGUGCUGUAGAGACUGAGAGGAGUGAGUUAUGUCUAGUAGGCUUGAUUGAAAUGCCUGAUGGUGAAGGCCAGUACUAUUGUUCACAUUUCUCAAUAGCAGUAAAACCCUGGGAGGAGAAUGUGCAAUUGAAAUGUGCAAGUGGUUUUUAGCAUUUUUCAUUAAAGACAAAAGAGGAUGAUAAAUUAACCAUAGUUGCCUUCGUCACAAUGUCUCUGGACGAGUCUGGCCCAGUCCUAAUCGUUGCACCUGACCUAGCCAUAAUGUCUUUGUUACACCCACACGCAUUAGCAUUAAUCCUCAGUUUCUCAAAGCCAUUGGCACGAACAGAGGACUGAAAGCCUGAUCUGACUCAACAAGUCUCAGUGUGGUUAGUCAACCCUGCAUGCCCUCCCUCCAUAAGCACACACAUAUGUGUGGUGAACUUCUGUCUUUUUUGUUCCAUUCCCAGAGUUGUUUGUAAAUGCUGUGAUCUGGGUCUUUAUUUAUUUAUUUAUUUUUUUACCAGGAGAGUUUUCGCUCACUCAGCAGUCAGAAGUGUCUAAUGCAGAUAUGACAAUAAUGUUGCCUAUUUGUUAAAUUGCCCAUAACUAUAAUGUAAGUCCUAGCUAUGUUUGUGCCAGACUUUGUGGUUUCUUGUCUCCAUGGUGUAUUGCAGUCUCUGUGAACUCACUACUUGUAAACCUCAGUUAGAUGGAGGGCGUGACCUAUAUCUCUUUCCCAAUUUGGUUGCUGAUGGGAUUGCAUACUCUCCCAAAAUUCCCUGCUCCUAUGGGGCAGUGAUUAGAUCAUCUCGACAAGCAUCUCAGCCCUGGUGGAAUUGGGAGAGCUGGGUUGUUGGCAGAAAUCCCCCAGUUUGCUUUGCUGAGAGAAGCUGAGAACUUUCUUAAAGUAGGGUUUGGAAACUUUGAGAUUAAGAAGAGGCCUGUCUGGGUCUCCAAUGGCUCAAAGCAGUUUUGUCAUUAACAAUGUGGGCUUGAGAUGGCAGACUUCUGUAUGACCCACCAGGAAUAAAGUACAACUUUCUAGUAAGUGCUGCAGCUUCAUUUGUGGUGCCAUUUUGGAGAUUCUUGUGGUUUUCCACAGAUAAUGAAUCAGAGUAAGUGGUAGACCGGAGGCUAGGAGACAGUGUGCCCCUGAUUCAGUACGUCUGAUCUAAUUGGAAUCGCCAUCGGCAACAUCAGGAUCUAAUACAUAAGAUGUUAAAAGCAUCAUGUCUUGGUCUAGUUUACAUCUGUAUUUGUUGUAUCACUUUUGCUUUGCCUCUGGCUAAAGAUAACUGAAGGCACAUGUGUGCCGUCUGUACUAUUCUUGGCCAAAAACCUUGCAAAAACAAGGACAACUUCAAAACUUCUACAUCUUUAUGGAUGGAACUAGGCCUUUUAUACUUAUCUAAGAUCAGUUUCCAUGGUCCUGGUCCUGACCUUCAUUUUUGCAAUUCAAAAUGAACAUACAGCACAGGGUUUCUACUAUAAACUCUUGUCCUCCAUUCUUGACCUGCAAGGGAUGUGUCCGUUUGGUGUCGAGAGGAUGAAUGCAAAGUCUUCUUCUAAUUCUAAGUCUGAACUGUUUUCUGAAUGACAGCAGCUGACAUUGGACUUUCAGACUAUGCUAAUUUCAGAGCAUGUUCUAGGGCAUCAAGUGUAUAUAGCCGUUGAGCAAGCUUAGAGAGUGCACUUUGAGCUCAUGGUUAUGAAGGAUUUGGAAGACCUCCCACUGGAUGUCCUCACUGCCUGCCUUAAUGUCUUCCUGCCUCUCUCACGUUUUGUCUGGCUGUUUCCAUUCCUUCCUAUGUCUCAGCCUGCAUAAGUGGCCUUACGGUUGAAGAAACGUGAGAAAUUUUAUCUCACCCACACAGAGAUGCUGGUAACUCUUGUUGGAACAGGUGAGCGACACCAAGUCUCCUGGAUCGACAUUCAGUCUGCACAGUGUGUUGCUCCGAUAGUGGCCUGAUCAGAUGUCUGUGGCUUAGACUGUUCACCUCAAAAGGCCGUUUUCUCCUAUUUCCUACAGAUUCUAGGGAGUCUGAAGUUGUUCUUUCUUUGGGCCCUCUAUAAAAUUGAACCACGGAUUUGCAAUGUGUUGUUAUACUUGAGAGAAGACAUGAGCAUGAGUUUAUUUACUGACCCAGUGGCCCCAAAAGGGAACAGUUAUGUAAGGCUGCUGUCUGUGACAUAAUGGUAUCGCCUCUGAAGGGAAACACUGUUGCUCAGCUACCUUCACUAUGGGAUGUCCUUACUAGCAACUGUGAGGUAACUGCUUCAAAGGGUAACUGGGUCACUGUGUUCGUUAACACAGAGGUCGAAUCUAAAGCUCUCCUAAUUACUGGCCCCUGUUGCGAAAAAGACUUGGGCACAUGCAGUGCUGGUUGCACCACACCAAAGAGGGUGUAGCUCAUCAGUGUGAAGACAUGCCAGUGCCCAUGCAACACAAACCACUUAAAAAAGUCUCCUUUUGUACAAGUGCCAGGAUGCAGUGCUGUGAAUAAAUAUAUUGACCACUGUCAAGGGGAUGAUUAAAGAUGACAUACAUUUUGUUGUGGGUAUUUGCAUGAACAGUAUGCCAGAAUGGGUUAAGGCCUCUCUUUUGUUUUCCCAAAGGGACAGAAAGAGGAAGUGUUUUUGACAUGGUGGAUAAAACCACAGCCACUUCCAUCUGUUAUGAAACUGUUACAGACUGGACAGUGUGACCUUUUUACAUAAGCCUACUUCAGAGCCACGUCAAGAGCGCCCUCAUUCGUGAUAAUAAUAUUCCUGGAAACAUGUCCCACUUGAACUCUUAGUCAUGUUCAUAUAAUGCAAGCAGGACAUUUCAAUCAUGGUAGUCCUGAAUGGUCUUGUCUGUAGGUGAUGUCUUUGUGUUGAGCAUAUGCUAGCUUCCCAGCGCACUAGCCUUCUUGUCUAUGGUGUUGUUAUAGAACCUAAAACUAUUAAAAUCGCUUCCUGUAAUUAAAACAAAGCUAAAA
Carassius auratus (goldfish) is the source of this 7374-nucleotide long non-coding RNA. RefSeq lists it as uncharacterized. The record is from RefSeq and is a predicted model, not a curated record. The transcript has 2 exons. Lineage: Eukaryota; Metazoa; Chordata; Actinopteri; Cypriniformes; Cyprinidae.